GACGAACGCUGGCGGCGUGCUUAACACAUGCAAGUCGAACGGAAAGGCCCUGCUUUUGUGGGGUGCUCGAGUGGCGAACGGGUGAGUAACACGUGAGUAACCUGCCCUUGACUUUGGGAUAACUUCAGGAAACUGGGGCUAAUACCGGAUAGGAGCUCCUGCUGCAUGGUGGGGGUUGGAAAGUUUCGGCGGUUGGGGAUGGACUUGCGGCUUAUCAGCUUGUUGGUGGGGUAGUGGCUUACCAAGGCUUUGACGGGUAGCCGGCCUGAGAGGGUGACCGGCCACAUUGGGACUGAGAUACGGCCCAGACUCCUACGGGAGGCAGCGGUGGGGAAUAUUGCACAAUGGGCGGAAGCCUGAUGCAGCAACGCCGCGUGCGGGAUGACGGCCUUCGGGUUGUAAACCGCUUUCGCCUGUGACGAAGCGUGAGUGACGGUAAUGGGUAAAGAAGCACCGGCUAACUACGUG
RNAcentral lists this ribosomal RNA (468 nucleotides) under uncultured bacterium. Its description in RNAcentral is "partial 16S ribosomal RNA". It matches the Rfam family "Bacterial small subunit ribosomal RNA", at positions 28 to 507 of the family's 1533-position model. The record is from RNAcentral.